Molecule: ribosomal RNA, 1396 nt
Filed under: uncultured bacterium
Lineage: Bacteria
Description: partial 16S ribosomal RNA
Rfam family: Bacterial small subunit ribosomal RNA
Source: RNAcentral
GAAUUCGCCCUUAGAGUUUGAUCCUGGCUCAGGAUGAACGCUGGCGGCGUGCUUAACACAUGCAAGUCGAACGGAGCUUAAUUGGAAAGCUUGCUUUUCGUUUAAGCUUAGUGGCGGACGGGUGAGUAACGCGUGAGCAACCUGCCCCGAAGUGGGGAAUAACACCGAGAAAUCGGUGCUAAUACCGCAUAAUGUCGGAGGACCGCAUGAUCCACCGACCAAAGGAUUUAUUCGCUUCGGGAUGGGCUCGCGUCCGAUUAGGCAGUUGGCGGGGUAACGGCCCACCAAACCAACGAUCGGUAGCCGAACUGAGAGGUUGAUCGGCCACAUUGGGACUGAGACACGGCCCAGACUCCUACGGGAGGCAGCAGUGGGGAAUAUUGGGCAAUGGGCGAAAGCCUGACCCAGCAACGCCGCGUGAAGGAUGAAGGUCUUCGGAUUGUAAACUUCUUUGAUUGGGGAAGAAAAAAAUGACCUACCCAAAGAACAAGUCACGGCUAACUACGUGCCAGCAGCCGCGGUAAUACGUAGGUGACAAGCGUUAUCCGGAUUUACUGGGUGUAAAGGGCGUGUAGGCGGCUUUGCAAGUCAGAAGUGAAAUUCCCGGGCUUAACCUGGGCGCUGCUUCUGAAACUGUAAAGCUUGAGUACUGGAGGGGAAAGCGGAAUUCCUAGUGUAGCGGUAAAAUGCACAGAUAUCACGAAGAACCCCGAUUGCGAAGGCGGCUUUCUGGACAGUAACUGACGCUAAAGCUCGAAAGUGCGGGUAUCGAACAGGAUUAGAUACCCUGGUAGUCCGCACGGUAAACGAUGGAUGCCCGCUGUCUGCGAUACACUGUAGGCGGCCAAGAGAAAUCGUUAAGCAUCCCACCUGGGGAGUACGCCGGCAACGGUGAAACUCAAAGGAAUUGACGGGGGCCCGCACAAGCGGAGGAACAUGUGGUUUAAUUCGAUGAUACGCGAGGAACCUUACCCGGGCUUGAACUGCAGGCGUACGAUACAGAGAUGUUGAGGCCCUUCGGGGCGCCUGUGGAGGUGCUGCAUGGUUGUCGUCAGCUCGUGCCGUGAGGUGUCGGCUUAAGUGCCAUAACGAGCGCAACCCCUUUCUCCAGUUGCCAUCAGGUAAUGCUGGGCACUCUGGAGACACUGCCACCGUAAGGUGUGAGGAAGGUGGGGAUGACGUCAAAUCAGCACGGCCCUUACGUCCGGGGCUACACACGUGUUACAAUGGGUGGUACAGAGAGUUGGUCGUUUGCAAAUGCGAUCUAAUCAUGAAAGCCAUCCUCAGUUCGGAUUGGGGUCUGCAACCCGACCCCAUGAAGCUGGAUUCGCUAGUAAUCGCGCAUCAGCCAUGGCGCGGUGAAUACGUUCCCGGGCCUUGCACACACCGCCCGUCA